RNAcentral lists this ribosomal RNA (254 nucleotides) under uncultured bacterium. Its description in RNAcentral is "partial 16S ribosomal RNA". It matches the Rfam family "Bacterial small subunit ribosomal RNA", at positions 524 to 776 of the family's 1533-position model. The record is from RNAcentral.
UACGUAGGGUGCGAGCGUUGUCCGGAUUUAUUGGGCGUAAAGAGCUCGUAGGCGGCUUGGCAAGUCGGGUGUGAAAACUCCAGGCUCAACCUGGAGACGCCACCCGAUACUGCCAUGGCUUGAGUCCGGUAGGGGACCACGGAAUUCCUGGUGUAGCGGUGAAAUGCGCAGAUAUCAGGAGGAACACCGGUGGCGAAGGCGGUGGUCUGGGCCGGUACUGACGCUGAGGAGCGAAAGCGUGGGGAGCGAACAGG